UGUCAUUGGGGAAAAUGUCACUGUGGCUGGAGCCCCAUGAAGGUCCAGGGUGAUAACCUGUCUUAAUUAUUUCUCACAGUUGCGUGGAGUCUACAAUUCAGAGCAGCAAGUUAAAAAGAAAAAAAGGCAAGAGGACUCCUCCCGGAAAGAUGGGCCAUCCAUGAGUGCGCGGCUUGUCACUGAAGUUUGGCAAAGCCAGAUUGUCGCCGGUCGGAGCAGCACUGCCCUUUCUCUGGCACCAGUUUUGCAAACUUUCCGUUUGAAAACCAGAGGGAUGACCGACUUUGCGGAUAAAGACAUGAAUCUCCUGGCACGCGUGAGAGCUGACAUAAAUAAAUAUUGACUCGGAAUGACCAGUCUAAGAGGCGUGAACUCUGUUGGCCAUUUGGAUGAGAAGGGAGAGGCACGCUUCGGGACCUUCAUCCACACGAAACAUAGAUUUGCUCACUGUCUAUUGCCCGGAUAAAGGAAACUUAGCUAAACUUCGUAACAUUCAACGGACAUAAUAAUUUAAUAAUAUUUCACAUCUAUGUAUGCAUGCCUCCAUUUUGGACAACAGGACAGAACUGCAGUGGCACCAACCCUGGGAUUGUUCGUGACACGUGAAGGUAGCAGACACGCGGGGAGCUGGUAUCAGACGUCUUCGUGUGUGAAAAUUUGACAAGUUGAAAAUCAGAUACCGCUGAGGGCAGUGGCGGAAGUCAGCCUCCUCGCAGAGAACUGUGGUGCUGGGUCAGCAUCGGGGCUGCUUGAAAUGGGGGGGGGGGGGGUCUCCUGCACCGUCCGUUCCAGAUGCGUCCCUGCUAGCACCAGGUGACUGCACAGCACACGUGCUCAGUGUGGCCCAGAGCGCGUUGGGACUUUAGAAAACCAGCAGGAGGCGUCCCUGCUGACGCGCCCCGGGGUGUCCCUUGUGCCUGGCUGCAAAACAGCGCCUGCGUCGUCGACUUGUAAAAGUCUUCACGGCCCAGGAAGCAGUUUUCAGCAUCUGCCACCCCAUGUCCGUGCGUCCAGACCGCGUUUCCUAAAGAGGGGCCUCAAUGGAACCAGUCUCUCUUCCUCCUGCAGAGCCUCUGCGUCCUGACGCUGUGCAGAAGCCGCGGGACGUGGAGGAGGCCUGAGCCGCCGCCCCCAGGAGCCCUCGGCGCCCACACGGUGAGUGCCCACCGCCGCCAUCGGCCCCCAAGACCACGGUACCCAAACGUCCCCCAGUUUCCUCAGGCACACGAUGAAAGGAAGCCUUUCCUUUAAAUGUUUAACUUUGAUACAUUGCUUUG
RNAcentral lists this long non-coding RNA (1277 nucleotides) under Suricata suricatta (meerkat). RNAcentral's name for it is "lncRNA (ENSSSUG00005023339.1)". Lineage: Eukaryota; Metazoa; Chordata; Mammalia; Carnivora; Herpestidae. The record is from RNAcentral.